UAUUAGGUAUUCAAGCCCGGCUCCUCCAGC
RNAcentral lists this non-coding RNA (30 nucleotides) under Mus musculus (house mouse). Lineage: Eukaryota; Metazoa; Chordata; Mammalia; Rodentia; Muridae. The record is from RNAcentral.